Molecule: ribosomal RNA, 333 nt
Filed under: fungal sp.
Lineage: Eukaryota; Fungi
Description: partial large subunit ribosomal RNA
Rfam family: Eukaryotic large subunit ribosomal RNA
Source: RNAcentral
GCUCUAAUUUGAAAUCUGGCGCCUUCGGCGCCCGAGUUGUAUUUUGUAGAGGAUGCUUGAGGGGUGGCACCGGUCUAAGUUCCUUGGAACAGGACGUCACAGAGGGUGAGAAUCCCGUAUGCGACCGGAAGCCCCCCCCUCAUAUAGCUCCUUCGACGAGUCGAGUUGUUUGGGAAUGCUGCUCUAAAUGGGAGGUAAAUUUCUUCUAAAGCUAAAUAUUGGCCAGAGACCGAUAGCGCACUAGUAGAGUGAUCGAAAGAUGAAAAGCACUUUGGAAAGAGAGUUAUACAGCACGUGAAAUUGUUGAAAGGGAAGCGCUUGCUACCAGACUUG